RNAcentral lists this long non-coding RNA (527 nucleotides) under Helianthus annuus (common sunflower). Lineage: Eukaryota; Viridiplantae; Streptophyta; Magnoliopsida; Asterales; Asteraceae. The record is from RNAcentral.
AUGAAUGUGUAUAUGAUUAUAAGUAAAACGAAGUGUGUGUAUAAACGUAAAACGUAUGAGUUUUGAAUCAUGAGUAUAACAUAAAUGCGUAAGUGUGAACAUAAGUGAAAGCAUAAAAUGUAUAAGUAUGGACGUAGGGAUUAAUGAUUUUGUUUAUAAUAUAAAAUUAAAAUACAUGAGUUUAUGCGCAUAAAAGGUUUAAAGUUUUGAAUAUGAAAGGAAAAAGAGAACGAGUGACACGCGUGAGAUUGUUGUGAGAUAUUGACUAAAACGUGUAAAAUGAUAUACAUAUAUAGUUGUUUGUGCAAAACGUGAAGUUAAAUUAGAUUGAGUUGUCAGGAAUGUAGAAUCUAGUUUGUGAAUUGUAAAGAGAAUAUAAAGGAAAACAUCUUUUGAUUAUGCGAAAGGAUACUUUGUAAAAGAAUGGAAUUUCCUUGCCCACGUGUUUUGAAUUUAAUUAACGUAUCAAGCGAGGUUUUGAAAAGUUCUUCGAAUUAAAAAGUUUGCAUCGUUUUAAGAAGUUUUUU